GACGAACGCUGGCGGCGUGCUUAACACAUGCAAGUCGAACGAUGAACCCGGAGCUUGCUCCGGCGGAUUAGUGGCGAACGGGUGAGUAACACGUGAGUAACCUGCCCUUGACUCUGGGAUAACUGCUAGAAAUGGUAGCUAAUACCGGAUACGACCCUCGGUGGCAUCACCAGGGGGUGGAAAGAAUUUCGGUCAAGGAUGGACUCGCGGCCUAUCAGCUAGUUGGUGAGGGAACGGCUCACCAAGGCGACGACGGGUAGCCGGCCUGAGAGGGUGAACGGCCACAGUGGGACUGAGAUACGGCCCAGAAGCCUACGGGAGGCAGCAGUGGGGAAUAUUGCACAAUGGGAACAAGACUGAUGCAGCGACGCCGCGUGAGGGAUGACGGCCUUCGGGUUGUAAACCUCUUUCAGCACCGACGAAGCGCAAGUGACGGUAGGUGCAGAAGAAGGACCGGCCAACUACGUGCCAGCCGCCGCGGUAA
RNAcentral lists this ribosomal RNA (484 nucleotides) under uncultured bacterium. Its description in RNAcentral is "partial 16S ribosomal RNA". It matches the Rfam family "Bacterial small subunit ribosomal RNA", at positions 28 to 523 of the family's 1533-position model. The record is from RNAcentral.